CACGCCGUAAACGAUGGAUACUAGGUGUAGGGGGCGAUAGCCCUCUGUGCCGCAGCAAACGCAAUAAGUAUCCCGCCUGGGGAGUACGAUCGCAAGGUUGAAACUCAAAGGAAUUGACGGGGGCCCGCACAAGCAGCGGAGCAUGUGGUUUAAUUCGAAGCAACGCGAAGAACCUUACCAAGGCUUGACAUCCCUUGACGUGCAUAGAAAUAUGUACUCCCUUCGGGGCAAGGAGACAGGUGG
RNAcentral lists this ribosomal RNA (243 nucleotides) under uncultured Clostridia bacterium. RNAcentral's name for it is "partial 16S ribosomal RNA". It matches the Rfam family "Bacterial small subunit ribosomal RNA", at positions 796 to 1041 of the family's 1533-position model. Lineage: Bacteria; Bacillati; Bacillota; Clostridia. The record is from RNAcentral.